AACGUAGGGUGCAAGCGUUGUCCGGAAUUACUGGGUGUAAAGGGAGCGCAGGCGGAUCUGCAAGUUGGAAGUGAAAACUAUGGGCUCAACCCAUAACGUGCUUUCAAAACUGUGGAUCUUGGGUGGUGCAGAGGUAGGCGGAAUUCCCGGUGUAGCGGUGGAAUGCGUAGAUAUCGGGAGGAACACCAGUGGCGAAGGCGGCCUACUGGGCACUAACUGACGCUGAGGCUCGAAAGCAUGGGUAGCAAACAGGAUUAGAUACCCUGGUAGUCCAUGCCGUAAACGAUGAUUACUAGGUGUGGGAGGAUUGACCCCUUCCGUGCCGCAGUUAACACAAUAAGUAAUCCACCUGGGGAGUACGACCGCAAGGUUGAA
This 375-nucleotide ribosomal RNA is filed under the name uncultured bacterium. RNAcentral's name for it is "bacterial SSU rRNA". It matches the Rfam family "Bacterial small subunit ribosomal RNA", at positions 524 to 898 of the family's 1533-position model. The record is from RNAcentral.